GUGGAGCCUGCGGCUUAAUUUGACUCAACACGGGAAACCUCACCAGGCCCGGACACCAGAAGGAUUGACAGAUUAAGAGCUCUUUCUCGAUUUGGUGGGUGGUGGUGCAUGGCCGUUCUUAGUUGGUGGAGUGAUUUGUCUGGUUAAUUCCGGUAACGAACGAGACUCUGGCCUACUAAAUAGUCGACGGGCGUUUUGGUGCAUGGGCCCCGUUCGACACAGUCUUCUUAGAGGGAUGAGCAGCGAGUAUAGCUGCAGGAGAUUGAGCAAUAACAGGUCUGUGAUGCCCUUAGAUGUCCUGGGCCGCACGCGCGCUACACUGAAUGGGUUAGCGGGUUGUCCUUCUCCGAGAGGAGCGGGAAAUCGCGUGAAAACCAUUCGUGAUAGGGAUUGGGGCUUGCAAUUGUUUCCCAUGAACGAGGAAUUCCCAGUAAGCGCAAGUCAUCAGCUUGCGUUGAUUAAGUCCCUGCCCUUUGUACACACCGCCCGUCGCUACUACCGAUUGAAUGAUUUAGUGAGGCCUUCGGACUGGCGGUCUUGGACUGGGGCGCCGGCUUUCUCCCAGCAAUGGGGUGCCGGCGACUCGCCUGGACGGGCCGGAAAGAUGUCCAAACUUGAUCAUUUAGAGGAAGUAAAAGUCGUAACAAGGUUUCC
This 654-nucleotide ribosomal RNA is filed under the name Cuapetes amymone. RNAcentral's name for it is "SSU rRNA". It matches the Rfam family "Eukaryotic small subunit ribosomal RNA", at positions 1176 to 1804 of the family's 1831-position model. RNAcentral also lists the same sequence under 2 other names. Lineage: Eukaryota; Metazoa; Arthropoda; Malacostraca; Decapoda; Palaemonidae. The record is from RNAcentral.